This 233-nucleotide ribosomal RNA is filed under the name uncultured bacterium. RNAcentral's name for it is "partial 16S ribosomal RNA". It matches the Rfam family "Bacterial small subunit ribosomal RNA", at positions 524 to 756 of the family's 1533-position model. The record is from RNAcentral.
UACAGAGGGUGCGAGCGUGUUCGGAAUUAUUGGGCGUAAAGGGCGCGUAGGCGGUGCGGUAAGUCACCUGUGAAAUCUCCUGGCUCAACUGGGAGCUUGCAGGCGAAACUGCCGUGCUGGAGUGUGGGAGAGGUGAGUGGAAUUCCCGGUGUAGCGGUGAAAUGCGUAGAGUAUCGGGAGGAACACCUGUGGCGAAAGCGGCUCACUGGACCACAACUGACGCUGAGGCGCGA